RNAcentral lists this ribosomal RNA (374 nucleotides) under uncultured organism. RNAcentral describes it as "partial 16S ribosomal RNA". It matches the Rfam family "Bacterial small subunit ribosomal RNA", at positions 528 to 896 of the family's 1533-position model. The record is from RNAcentral.
GGGGGGGCAAGCGUUUGUUCGGAAUUACUGGGCGUAAAGGGCGCGUAGGCGGACCAGACAGUCUCUCGUGAAAUCCCACGGCUCAACCGUGGAACUGCGGGGGAUACUACUGGUCUUGAGUUCGGGAGAGGAGUGUGGAAUUCCCAGUGUAGCGGUGAGAUGCGUAGAUAUUGGGAGGAACACCGGUGGCGAAGGCGGCACUCUGGACCGAAACUGACGCUGAGGCGCGAAAGCUAGGGGAGCAAACGGGAUUAGAUACCCCGGGUAGUCCUAGCUGUAAACGAUGAGCACUUGGUGUAGCGGGUAUCGACCCCCCUGCUGUGCCGGAGUUAACGCAUUAAGUGCUCCGCCUGGGGAGUACGGUCGCAAGGCUG